UACGUAGGGUGCAAGCGUUGUCCGGAAUUAUUGGGCGUAAAGAGCUCGUAGGCGGUUUGUCGCGUCUGCUGUGAAAACUCGGGGCUUAACCCCGGGCCUGCAGUGGGUACGGGCAGACUAGAGUGCGGUAGGGGAGACUGGAAUUCCUGGUGUAGCGGUGAAAUGCGCAGAUAUCAGGAGGAACACCGGUGGCGAAGGCGGGUCUCUGGGCCGAUACUGACGCUGAGGAGCGAAAGCGUGGGGAGCGAACAGG
Molecule: ribosomal RNA, 253 nt
Filed under: uncultured bacterium
Lineage: Bacteria
Description: partial 16S ribosomal RNA
Rfam family: Bacterial small subunit ribosomal RNA
Source: RNAcentral